GACGAACCGUGCAAACGUUGUUCGGAAUCACUGGGCUUAAAGGGCGCGUAGGCGGGGGACCAAGUCCGGGGUGAAAUCUUUCGGCUCAACCGGAAAACUGCCUUGGAUACUGGUCUUCUUGAGGGAGGUAGGGGCAGGUGGAACUUCCGGUGGAGCGGUGAAAUGCGUUGAUAUCGGAAGGAACGCCGGUGGCGAAAGCGGCCUGCUGGAUCUCUUCUGACGCUGAGGCGCGAAAGCUAGGGGAGCGAACGG
RNAcentral lists this ribosomal RNA (252 nucleotides) under uncultured prokaryote. Its description in RNAcentral is "partial 16S ribosomal RNA". It matches the Rfam family "Bacterial small subunit ribosomal RNA", at positions 524 to 775 of the family's 1533-position model. The record is from RNAcentral.